This is a long non-coding RNA of Helianthus annuus (common sunflower), 506 nucleotides long. RefSeq lists it as uncharacterized. The transcript is spliced from 3 exons. Lineage: Eukaryota; Viridiplantae; Streptophyta; Magnoliopsida; Asterales; Asteraceae. The record is from RefSeq and is a predicted model, not a curated record.
UGUUUCUAAACUCAUAAACGUGUCUUUAAAUCAAGCAUCUCUAGCUCUAUUUCGUCACCUCUCUCAAAAGUUAACCACCCUUUAUCUUGCACUCUCACUGAUUCGAUAACAACCCACCGGAGUUCGAAGCUUCGUUUGAAGAACUAGCCGGAGAUCCACUCAUGUCGUUUUCGAGUUAUAGCCCACCGAACACGCGGUCACCGGAGUUACAAGGAACUCACCGGAACGCCAUAACUCCGACAUCAUCUAACCCCGACCAUUCUUCGCAACCGGGUAAUUACUUUCAUACUUUCGGGAUUUCUGAACGCUUACUCUUGCGUUAUUUUUUUCAUGGAAUCGCAAACGCAACCACUGUGAACAUGCUUGAAGAGAAGAUUGGACAUAGGAUGGGCCUUAGUUAACAAGAAACGGAUAAAUGUAUCUUAGUGAUUAUGAUCAAUGUCUCAUUUGUAAUUGUUUAUUUGAAUUAGUUGUUAUGUGAAACAUUUGUUAUGAAUAAAUUAUUA